This 371-nucleotide ribosomal RNA is filed under the name uncultured organism. RNAcentral's name for it is "bacterial SSU rRNA". It matches the Rfam family "Bacterial small subunit ribosomal RNA", at positions 526 to 896 of the family's 1533-position model. The record is from RNAcentral.
CGAACUGUGCGAACGUUAUUCGGAAUCACUGGGCUUACAGGGUGCGUAGGCGGCUAUUCAGGUCAGGUGUGAAAGCCCCCGGCUCAACCGGGGAACUGCGCUUGAAACCGAGUGGCUCGAGUCAGCUAGAGGUACACGGAACUUCCAGUGGAGCGGUGAAAUGUGUUGGUAUUGGAAGGAACACCGGAGGCGAAAGCGGUGUACUGGGGCUGGUCUGACGCUGAGGCACGAAAGCCAGGGGAGCGAACGGGAUUAGAUACCCCCGGUAGUCCUGGCCGUAAACGAUGAGUGCUGGACGGGAGGGGGUUCGCCCUUUCCGGUCGGAGCGAAAGCGGGAAGCACUCCGCCUGGGGAGUAUGGUCGCAAGGCUG